RNAcentral lists this ribosomal RNA (90 nucleotides) under Treponema sp. Lineage: Bacteria; Pseudomonadati; Spirochaetota; Spirochaetia; Treponematales; Treponemataceae. The record is from RNAcentral.
ACCCGUUCCCAUUCCGAACACGGAAGUCAAGCCCUCUUACGCCAAUGAUACUGCCCCUAAAAGGAGCGGGAAAGUAGGUCGUCGCCAGGC